Long non-coding RNA from Maniola jurtina (meadow brown), 720 nucleotides. RefSeq lists it as uncharacterized. NCBI's taxonomy places the organism in Eukaryota, Metazoa, Arthropoda, Insecta, Lepidoptera, Nymphalidae. The transcript has 2 exons. The record is from RefSeq and is a predicted model, not a curated record.
AAAAAUAUGGCUGGAAGUACCUGGAUGAAGAAGAGUGACAACAGGUGCUUUUUGGAAAAAGCCUAUGUUCAGCAAUGGAUGUAUGGAAACUGAAAUGAUGAUGAUCAUGAAUCAGUAAAUGUUUGGUGCUUGUAAUUGUCAAAAAAGUUAUUGAAUGCAUUUAUGGCAAUUUAGCUAUCAAUUUUAUAGAUAACCAACAUUGUAGACGAAAUCACUAUAAUGUCUCUGUGUUUGUCACGUUUGAAAAUCAAGGUGCGGUUACAAUCCAGUUUCAACCGGCUACAACUAGGUGCAGUAGCAGUUGGUUAAACUUAUAUGUAACCUGCUUGUUAACGCUUAAGACUAAACGGUUAAAGCAGCAUUUAAUACCAAAGAAAUCGCACCACCUCAACUUCACGUAGUCCUGUCUGUUCUACCCCUCAAAGAGAUUGUUAGGCAUAAUGCCAGAAGCUCGUGAAGGAAAUGAAGUGAGCCUAUGAGGUCGAGUGGAGUGAGCUGACGAAGCGAACAUAAGAAUGGUAUUGUCUCUCAAAACAUAACUACUGUCUGUUUCGUCUGAAUUUCAGCAAAGGGUUACGUCGUCUAUGAGUAUCAUGAACAUAGCACAGUUUAACCUACGUAAUGAGUUUUCAUAUCGAAUGGCUAGUUAUCUUCUUUCACAUGACAAAUUUUCUAGUGUGAUUCCGAACUACGCGUCAAUCAAGGGAACAGUUCUUUAUA